UAGAAACCGGAAUGAUUUAUUGAUUGAUUGAUUUUAUUUGACCAUUUCAUUAUAAAAUACGAUACAGCUAUGCACCAUACAU
Molecule: long non-coding RNA, 82 nt
Organism: Etheostoma spectabile (orangethroat darter)
Lineage: Eukaryota; Metazoa; Chordata; Actinopteri; Perciformes; Percidae
Exons: 3
Source: RefSeq, a predicted model, not a curated record